AUUGGUUAUUGUUACCUGGCUAUUAGCGCCAUGUAGCUAGCUAAUAUUGAUUAGCUGGCUAGCAAACGAUAAGACCCAAAUAACACCGGCAAAGAAAGGAGCGUGACUGGUUGUUGGCGUUUUCCUUGCAUAACAGUUUACCAGCUUUUGAUAAUUUAAGCAAUGUUGAAUAUAUUUUUUUUAUAUGGUGGCACCUCAAUUAAGAUGCUGUCAUAUUUUGGGAUCACAGAAUGAAUGAUUAAUGGCGGGUAGAAUAUAGUUAGCACGAUCUAGCUAACCGGCUACCCAAAUGUAACGUUAUCCAGACAGUUAGCUAGUUAUCGAUAGAAUUUCUCACCUUGACUCUGACACGAACUACACCCCUCUCCUCCUCAGCUGCCAUGCUGUUUUUGUCUCCGCCUGCCGCCCAACUCGCCAUUGCUUCACAGGAUGUUACGUCACUGGCAUUACAUCAUCCGUCGUUGCUCAGCCGAAGAUGCUACAGCAAAGCACCUCUCAGACCUCCCCCCUUUUCAGCUUCGCCCCGAGUUAAGCUUUUGCCUAAGAUAACCCAAGAGUGUAAAA
Molecule: long non-coding RNA, 564 nt
Organism: Anguilla rostrata (American eel)
Lineage: Eukaryota; Metazoa; Chordata; Actinopteri; Anguilliformes; Anguillidae
Exons: 2
Source: RefSeq, a predicted model, not a curated record